GGGGACUCCGAGUGUGAAGGCAUAGAGCCUUCACUUUUGUACACCGUAAGGUGGUGUACGAAUAAGGACUGGGCAAGACCGGUGCCAGCCGCCGCGGUAAUACCGGCAGUCCGAGUGAUGGCCGAUCUUAUUGGGCCUAAAGCGUCCGUAGCUGGCUAGACAAGUCCGUUGGGAAAUCUGCCCGCUUAACGGGCAGGCGUCCAGCGGAAACUGUCUAGCUUGGGACCGGAAGACCUGAGGGGUACGUCUGGGGUAGGAGUGAAAUCCUGUAAUCCUGGACGGACCGCCGGUGGCGAAAGCGCCUCAGGAGAACGGAUCCGACAGUGAGGGACGAAAGCUAGGGUCUCGAACCGGAUUAGAUACCCGGGUAGUCCUAGCUGUAAACGAUGUCCGCUAGGUGUGGCGCAGGCUACGAGCCUGCGCUGUGCCGUAGGGAAGCCGAGAAGCGGACCGCCUGGGAAGUACGUCUGCAAGGAUGAAACUUAAAGGAAUUGGCGGGGGAGCACUACAACCGGAGGAGCCUGCGGUUUAAUUGGACUCAACGCCGGACAUCUCACCAGCCCCGACAGUAGUCAUGACGGUCAGGUUGAUGACCUUACCCGACGCUACUGAGA
RNAcentral lists this ribosomal RNA (614 nucleotides) under Halobacterium sp. CaH1. RNAcentral's name for it is "bacterial SSU rRNA". It matches the Rfam family "Archaeal small subunit ribosomal RNA", at positions 374 to 985 of the family's 1478-position model. Lineage: Archaea; Methanobacteriati; Methanobacteriota; Halobacteria; Halobacteriales; Halobacteriaceae. The record is from RNAcentral.